UCCAGGACGGACAGCGGACGACGAGGGACGAACAUGCAGCGACCCAGACGGACGGCUGCGACGGAACGGAGGAACACAAGCUGGUCAUCUUACCUUCAGGCUGUGCCCCCGUGCCACAGGAGGUUUCUGUGCUCAGCUGGCAGCAGGCGGUCUUAAUUCCACCCCUUUCUUGUGUAGUACUGGUG
Long non-coding RNA from Pygocentrus nattereri (red-bellied piranha), 185 nucleotides. RefSeq lists it as uncharacterized. The record is from RefSeq and is a predicted model, not a curated record. Lineage: Eukaryota; Metazoa; Chordata; Actinopteri; Characiformes; Serrasalmidae. The transcript has 3 exons.